GAUGAACGCUGGCGGCGUGCCUAAUACAUGCAAGUCGAGCGAACAGAUGAGGAGCUUGCUCCUCUGACGUUAGCGGCGGACGGGUGAGUAACGCGUGGAUAACCUACCUAUAAGACUGGGAUAACUUCGGGAAACCGGAGCUAAUACCGGAUAAUAUAUUGAACCGCAUGGUUCAAUAGUGAAAGACGGUUUUGCUGUCACUUAUAGAUGGAUCCGCGCCGCAUUAGCUAGUUGGUAAGGUAACGGCUUACCAAGGCAACGAUGCGUAGCCGACCUGAGAGGGUGAUCGGCCACACUGGAACUGAGACACGGUCCAGACUCCUACGGGAGGCAGCAGUAGGGAAUCUUCCGCAAAGGGCGAAAGCCUGACGGAGCAACGCCGCGUGAGUGAUGAAGGUCUUCGGAUCGUAAAACUCUGUUAUUAGGGAAGAACAAAUGUGUAAGUAACUAUGCACGUCUUGACGGUACCUAAUCAGAAAGCCACGGCUAACUACGUG
This 497-nucleotide ribosomal RNA is filed under the name uncultured bacterium. Its description in RNAcentral is "partial 16S ribosomal RNA". It matches the Rfam family "Bacterial small subunit ribosomal RNA", at positions 28 to 507 of the family's 1533-position model. The record is from RNAcentral.